UAUAUUUCUUCGGGUCAAAAGAAAUUUCUUAUUACGCCGCGAGGAAAAAGCGCACGGGUUAGGAGAAAAGCCAUCGUUCUCAGAAUCAAUCAGAUCGAUCUCUUAACCCUAGCUUGCAACCAUGUCUUCAAAGCAAGGUGGAAAGGCAAAGCCUUUGAAGCAGCCAAAGGCUGAUAAGAAAGAGUACGACGAGGCUGACAAGGCUUUCCUUCAGAAAAAGAAGGAUGAGGAAAAGGCACUUAAGGAUCUCAAGGCAAAAGCUCAAAAGGGAGCAUUAGGAGGUGCAGGACUGAAGAAAAGUGGCAAGAAGUGAUAAACACGAUGUCCAACAAAAUCAUUGAAAGACUUAUUGUGUAUGGCUGGUUUAGAUGUGUUGUUCUUCAAGUUGUUAUAGAUUGCAUGUUUGACUUCACUAAGACCUAUCCUUCAUGAAACUGAAAGAACAUUUCUGCAAUGCUUCCUUUGAAUAUGAAAGUUGUGUUAGUUUUGCUCAUAAUGUCAAUAAUUCAUGAUUUCCUCGUAAA
Long non-coding RNA from Ipomoea triloba (trilobed morning glory), 524 nucleotides. RefSeq lists it as uncharacterized. Lineage: Eukaryota; Viridiplantae; Streptophyta; Magnoliopsida; Solanales; Convolvulaceae. The record is from RefSeq and is a predicted model, not a curated record. The transcript has 4 exons.